This is a non-coding RNA of Manis javanica (Malayan pangolin), 1493 nucleotides long. NCBI's taxonomy places the organism in Eukaryota, Metazoa, Chordata, Mammalia, Pholidota, Manidae. The record is from RefSeq and is a predicted model, not a curated record.
GGCCUGCAGGCCUUCCCCAGGACUCUGCCUUCAAAAACCCUUGCUUUUUUUUGUAAGCCCCCGGGGCGUUGAGGACCUUGAGCUAGAGUCCCCUGUCCUCCCUGCUGGGAGCCCUGCAGGAACGCCCCUUUUCUUUCACUGCCCCGGUGUCAAGUGUUUGGCUUUGCAAGGCACCGGGUGAGAGGACCCAGAUGGAUAGGGCUUUGUUUUUAAAUUAAUAAACAUAUUGACGUGAAUAUCCAGGCCUUAUGGCUGUGGCUAAAUCCUUGGAGUUUCUAAUAAUGCAAUAAUCCAGUUGAUGAGAAAAACACCACCAGAGGGAACAUCUGGGGCAAAGAGAAAAACAAGGCGGGCAAGGAGACAUGCAAAAGAAACCCGUCCUUGGCACAGGAUACUCUGCUUCCCGGCGAGAGAACUUCCCGAGGCGCAGACAGAACAGUUUCUGGAAGAAAAUUAGAAUCAUUGAAAACCCCGCCAUCCAGAGGCUGACCACAAACUUCCUUCCCUUCUCCUUUUGGAAGCCCUCCAGCAUUGGCAAGGUCAUGGUGAAGAAGAGCUGGUGCCUCUCCCACAGAGGUCAUGAGCCCAGAAUCUACUGGAAGGAAUUCCUCACACCCAAGGAAAGACCAGAGGAGUCAAGCUCCCGCGAGGGGUGGGCUGCCCGAAGGAAAGGAUGGCAUUGGCGAGUGAGGAGACAAGACACAGAGUCAGACUGGAAGCAUCUCCUAGCAAGCAUGCUAGCAGUGUUUUAUUUAUAUGAUAUCCAUUCCAGACAUUUGUUCUUUGAUCAGUGAGGUUACAAUCUUUUUUCCUUUCUGUUUCUAACUUAUUCCUGCUCACUACCUUUAAUUACGGGCAGAUAUCAUCAUUUCCUGCUACAUGCAGCUUUUCAUGUUUUAUUUCUUCCUUAUCAUGACUAAUUCUUAUGCAAAGCAGAUGCCAUAAAACAGUGCAUGAAAGGUGCUAGACAGAGUGUGGUUUAUUUUUUGACCACAAAGCAGCCAUUUUCACAUUUACAAUUAUCCUUCUUGUGCCUGGACUUUGUCAAACAGCCUGAGUAGCAUGGCUCCUACCACUGUUUUAUGCAUUUGUAUCUCAGAUCAUAUAGAAAAAAUAGAUAAAAAUUAAAAAUAUGACAAUACUUAAUUUUACAUGUAUCUUUUCUGAUCAUUUUUAUUUAGUCAUAUGGUUUUGAGUCACUGUCAAGAGGCCUUUCAUUUCAGCCUGAAGGGCUUCCAUAAGCAUUUCUUGUGAAAUAGCAGGUCUAGCAGCAAUGACCUCCCUCAGCUUCUGUUUACCUGGGGAGUCUUCAUUUCUUCAUUUUUGGAGGAUAGUUUUGUUAGAUACAGAAUUCUUGGUGGAUGAUUUAUUUUUCUUUGAUACUUUGAAUAUGCCAUCCCACUGUUUUCUGCAUUCCAUGGUUUCUGAUUGUAAAGGAGUGCAGAGAGCAUCAAGAGUCAGGAAAAAGAACUAAUAAAACUUAGCUAAACUUU